UUGAGGACUUGUUUGACCAUUAAAAAUAUUUAUUUGAAAAUCAUCAAUUCCAAAAGCCUCAAAUUCGUUCGAAAUCGCUGGCAUUCGUCUUAAAGUAGGCUUUCUUAUUUUUUUUCAGGAUUUUAUGUUGGAGAAUUUAGCUUCUUGAUUUGAAUUCAACUGUGUAAAUUGAUAUUGUUUCGCUUUUGCGGUUUACUCUGUUCAAGAUUUUGGCUUCUUCCUCUAAUUUCUUGAUUUUCGAUCAUUCUAGUACUUAUCAGUUGCUGAUUUUUCAGCAAAGAUUAUUAUCAUGAACAUCAAUGUUUUCUCAUCAAAAUUGAUCAAGUAGACAGAAGUAUAAAGGAAUUAAAGAAACGCGUCAACUUCAAGAUGCUCUUUAAUUAUAUAAACGCCAUUGAUUCAGUUUCUCUCUGAUUCAGUAAUGGCUAAUGGGAGUGUAGUUGGGUUCGUAGGUUUGGAUGAUAUCAGCUUGGAAUUGGCUACUUUGCUUCUUUAUUCAAGUUACUCUCUUCAGGCAUUAAUUGUAAGUGUACCUGAUAAUAGAGCACGGAAGCAUCCACGUGGCGACACUAUUCUGGUAUACUGAAUCUAUUUUAGCCUCUUUUAUCCUUUUUAAAAGUUGCAGGUAAAAACAGUUUCGUGCUUUUUAGAGUCUAUUUGAUGAAGUUGGGGGGUGAAAUACAAUCUCUACUGGGAAAGAUUGUUUGGCCAAGAAAAAUCAGAUGUCUCCCACUAACAAGAAACAACACUUGAUAGACUAAUUUGCAGAUAGCUAAAGAUAUCCUUUGUAUCUGUGGUGGGGCUUUUGUGGCUUAGAGAAUACAAUUGAUGAAAGGUUAUCUUGUCAUACUCAAUUAAUUUCAUGAAACACAUUUAGGUUAGUGAUAGCUUCAAUUGGAUCCGGAGCACCUGUCCAAGCUAACAUGAGAAUUGGUGGCCUAACUGAUGCAACAGUUACAUCAUCACUAUUGAAAUUUGUGAUGACUUGACCAUAGUUUUCUUUUGUAGAUCUAGUGAUUCUCAUGAAAUUUCAAAAGCUUAAAUGCAUCAGAGAGCAUUUGUUUGA
Solanum pennellii is the source of this 1066-nucleotide long non-coding RNA. RefSeq lists it as uncharacterized. The record is from RefSeq and is a predicted model, not a curated record. Lineage: Eukaryota; Viridiplantae; Streptophyta; Magnoliopsida; Solanales; Solanaceae. The transcript has 2 exons.